RNAcentral lists this ribosomal RNA (59 nucleotides) under Bredemeyera lucida. Its description in RNAcentral is "partial 26S ribosomal RNA". RNAcentral also lists the same sequence under 28 other names. Lineage: Eukaryota; Viridiplantae; Streptophyta; Magnoliopsida; Fabales; Polygalaceae. The record is from RNAcentral.
ACGCGACCCCAGGUCAGGCGGGACCACCCGCUGAGUUUAAGCAUAUCAAUAAGCGGAGG